GAUGAAGAACGCAGUGAAAUGCGAUAAGUAAUGUGAAUUGCAGAAUUCAGUGAAUCAUCGAAUCUUUGAACGCACCUUGCGCCCUUUGGUAUUCCGAAGGGCAUGCCUGUUUGAGUGUCAUGAAACCUCACCCCACUUGGGUUUUUGCCUGAGCGGUGGUGUAUUGGGUGUUGCCUUGCUAAAGGCUCGCCUUAAAGACAUAAGCACCUUGGAUGUAAUACGUUUCAUCCUUCUGGGUGGCUGAUAACCCCACAUAUUCAUGAUCUGGCCUCAAAUCAGGUAGGGCUACCCGCUGAACUUAAGCAUAUCAAUAAGCGGAGGA
Molecule: unclassified non-coding RNA, 322 nt
Filed under: soil metagenome
Description: partial contains 5.8S ribosomal RNA, internal transcribed spacer 2, and large subunit ribosomal RNA
Rfam family: 5.8S ribosomal RNA (bases 1-120)
Source: RNAcentral